GUGCUCAUUUCAGCAGCAUAUGUACUAAAAUUGGAACGAUACAGAGAUUAGCAUGAUCCCUGUGCAAGGACGACAUGCAAAUUUGUGAAGUAUUCUGUAUUUUU
Camelus dromedarius (Arabian camel) is the source of this 104-nucleotide small nuclear RNA. NCBI's taxonomy places the organism in Eukaryota, Metazoa, Chordata, Mammalia, Artiodactyla, Camelidae. The record is from Ensembl.